Molecule: ribosomal RNA, 820 nt
Filed under: uncultured Actinomycetes bacterium
Lineage: Bacteria; Bacillati; Actinomycetota; Actinomycetes
Description: bacterial SSU rRNA
Rfam family: Bacterial small subunit ribosomal RNA
Source: RNAcentral
AAAGUCCCCUUCGGGGGGCGAGUAGAGUGGCGCACGGGUGAGUAACACGUAGGUAAUCUACCUUUGGAUUGGGAAUAACCACCGGAAACGGUGGCUAAUACCGAAUAAUGCAGCGGCACCUAAUGGUGACAGUUGUUAAAGCGGGGGAUCGCAAGACCUCGCGUCUGAAGAGGAGCCUGCGGCAGAUUAGCUAGUUGGUAAGGUAACGGCUUACCAAGGCGAUGAUCUGUAGCCGGCCUGAGAGGGCGGUCGGCCACACUGACACUGACAUACGGGUCAGACUCCUACGGGAGGCAGCAGUCGGGAAUUUUGGGCAAUGGGCGAAAGCCUGACCCAGCAACGCCGCGUGAAGGAUGAAAUCCCUCGGGAUGUAAACUUCGCAAGAACGGGAAGAAUAAGUAAGAGUUAACAUCUCUUACGAUGACGGUACUGUUUGUAAGCUCCGGCUAACUCCGUGCCAGCAGCCGCGGUAAUACGGGGGGAGCAAGCGUUGUUCGGAUUUACUGGGCGUAAAGGGCGCGUAGGCGGCCACCGCAAGUCGACUGUGAAAUCUCCGGGCUUAACCCGGAAAGGUCAGCCGAUACUGCGGGGCUAGAGUGCAGAAGGGGCAACUGGAAUUCUCGGUGUAGCGGUGAAAUGCGUAGAUAUCGAGAGGAACACCUGCGGCGAAGGCGGGUUGCUGGGCUGACACUGACGCUGAUGUGCGAAAGCUAGGGGAGCGAACGGGAUUAGAUACCCCGGUAGUCCUAGCCUUAAACGAUGAAUGCUUGGUGUCUGGGGUUUUAUAGUCCCCGGGGUGCCGUCGCUAACGCUUUAAGCA